Long non-coding RNA from Siniperca chuatsi (mandarin fish), 1185 nucleotides. RefSeq lists it as uncharacterized. Lineage: Eukaryota; Metazoa; Chordata; Actinopteri; Centrarchiformes; Sinipercidae. The transcript has 2 exons. The record is from RefSeq and is a predicted model, not a curated record.
UUUGAGCCUGAGAAAUUACAAACAUAGACAGGAGUGUGGAUGUGGCAUGAGCAUUAAAGUCAAAUGCCAAUUUCCAAAACCAAUAGGAUACUGCCACUUUGGCAAUAAUAAAGUAGGUUUCCUGGCAAAUGAAUGAAACGUAACGGAAGUGUAACUUCCAAAAUAAGAAUUCAAACUUUCCAAACUAAUAUGCAAACUUCCAAAACCAAUGGGGUACUUCCACUUAGGCACAAAUGCAGCAGGUUUCCUGUCAAAUAAAUGACAAUGAUAGACAAUAACUUCCAAAAUCAAUAUGUCAAGAUGCACACAAAAUGCAAAACUUUCAUAUUGGUUAUGGAACGAAACGUAUUGGUUUUGGAAGUCAGCAUAGUAGAUUUGGUAUGUGAAGGACCUGGAAGUGGGACUUCCACAUUCAUAAUGCAAACUUCCAAAACCAACUAGGGUACUGCCACUUAGGCACAAAUACAGUAGGUUUCCUGUCAAAUAAAUGACACUGAUAGAUAAUAACUUCCAAAAACUUCCCCUGUACCUUAGGGGUUUAGACAGCGACCAUCAACUGCAACAUACCUGGUUCGAAUUUGGCCAAAACCUUUGUUGGAUUACUUUUCCUUCCGUAAUAAAGGCAUAAACUUGUCCCCCCAAAUGCUUCAAUAUGCUAACCUUCAAAACCCACAAAAAAUCAUGUACAGAUGCACAUAAAGCUAAUUAUUAUGUUACACUAACAUACAAUAUCUUCCACAAUCAAUAUCUUAAGCCACACAUUGAAUGUGAAACGUCCACACUGAUUUUGGAAUUGUAUUGUUUUUUUAAGUUAGCAUACUAGAUGGGGAAGACGAAAGACCUGGAAAUGUGAUGUCCAAAAUCAAUAUACUACAUUCCCAAUCUAAUAUGCUACAUAUGCCCAUACACAUGUACAUAGGCCCAUGUACCUUAGGGGUUAAGAUGCUGACCAUAAAUAGACAUAGAUUUCUACUUAAAGAAAUUUCCUGUUGUUUCCUCUUGUCCAUUCAUCCAGCAGAUGAUUUUGAAUGUCUGAGUAGCUGUUUCUUUCUAAAUGAUAACCAAGUCCUGUCUAGUCCAACUGCAUUUCACUUCUGUAGCUGUGUCUGGCUGUGCCUUUGAUAUAUAAAAUUCUAGAAUGUUGAUGCAUCAUGAAGGCAUGAAAGGUCCUGCAAAAUUCUGUGA